Long non-coding RNA from Salvia miltiorrhiza (redroot sage), 328 nucleotides. RefSeq lists it as uncharacterized. NCBI's taxonomy places the organism in Eukaryota, Viridiplantae, Streptophyta, Magnoliopsida, Lamiales, Lamiaceae. The transcript is spliced from 3 exons. The record is from RefSeq and is a predicted model, not a curated record.
UUUCCUCUCGCAAACUUUUCUUUUCUCUCCCAAACCCUAGGUUAUUUUCUUUUACGAAAUCCUUGGUUCUUCGCUUUCCGUUUUCGCUUCUUGUUGAUUCUCUGCAGGAAAAUACUUUUCUUCGUUGGUACUCUGUGUUUAGUUUAUGUUCGUCAUUUUCUUCGUGAUUUUCCGGCGUCGUACUUCGUGAUUUCAUACACAUAAGUAUUAUGGAAGAGAAUCCUGCUAGAAGAAAAAGAGCUUCAUCUCAUGAAGAUGUCGAACCAGAAAGCAUUAUGAAGAAGAAAGUGUCUAGAAAGCGAAAAGGUGAAAGAAGUCAGCCCAAAAG